Thunnus maccoyii (southern bluefin tuna) is the source of this 1366-nucleotide long non-coding RNA. RefSeq lists it as uncharacterized. NCBI's taxonomy places the organism in Eukaryota, Metazoa, Chordata, Actinopteri, Scombriformes, Scombridae. The transcript has 2 exons. The record is from RefSeq and is a predicted model, not a curated record.
AGUAAAAAAAUACCAGUGUGUUUGUGGUUCGUAUACAAACCGACGGUCGUAAAGUAGUACUGGACUGUAGCAUGGAUGUGGCAGUUAGCUUACGAGAGCCAGUUGCUCACUCUCUACAUUCACUAACCUCAAAUCACCUGCUUCUGUCAUAUUCUCCUGUUAGAUGACAAUACAAGUCUUUCAUAGCUGUGCACUGGAGAGAGGUAAGUUUGCUUGUUAUGAGCUGCUGCGGUGCUGGACCAACAUGGCUGCUAGGAGCUAAUUUUCAAAAGUAUAGACCGAUUUCUCGACUUGUUCUAUUCAAAUUCAUACAAUGAAGUGGAAGACAUAAGCAUAAUAAAUCUCUUGAGUGUGGGUAAAGCUUGCCUGUCAAACACACAUGCAUAAAAAAAUGAUUGUCGUAACUGCCAUGAGCAAAAACAUUUGAUUUUAGUACACAUAUACACAUGUAACGUACUGAUUCAUACGAGGAAGUUACACCAUAAGUUCCGGGAAGUUACAUGGUAAAUGUUGGGAAGUUACACUUUAAAACACCAAUUGUUACUCCCUUGUUUCUCCUUGUUUUGUUUUCUUCCGCUGUACCUACAUUUAUGUACCAAUAAGAACCAGAAAGUAUUUUAUAUGGAUUCAUACGAGGAAGUUACACCGUAAAAUGCGGGCUGUAUUAUAAAGUGAAAUACGACCAUAUAUCACCUGUGCUGAGGUCGUUAUAUUGGCUUCCUGUAAAUUUUAGAAUAGAUUUUAGGAUUUUAAUGUUCAUUUUAAGGCCCUACAUGUUCUGGCUGGCUCCACAAUAUCUCACUGACAUGCUAUCAAACAGUUAGACCCCUCAGGUCAUCUGGAAUAGGCCGUCUGGUUAUUCCCAGGGUCCCCCUUGAAAAUUGGUGAAGGUGCAUUUAGCUUUUAUGCUCCCAGCCGCUGGAACAUCCUGCCCGAUCAUGUUAGAUGUGCUCCAACACUAUCCUCUUUUAAAACUAAACUUAAAAAGUUCCUUUUUAGAUGCACGUUUAAACUUUCUGAAAGCCACUGCAUCUCUUUCUAGCCCUCUUUAUUUGCUUGACAUAUUUGCGAUCAUAUUCCUCAUACAUGUUUACAAUCUAUCUAUAAUUUUAUCAUCCUGAUUUUCCAAAUCGUCAAUUUGCUUUUUUUGGUCUGUCCAUCAUGGAAGAGGGAUCCCUCCUCUCUUGCUCCUCCUGAGAUUUCUUCCAUUUUUUCCCAUGUUAAAGGGUUUUUGGAGGAGUUUUCCCUUAUUUGAAUUGAGGGUUUAAGGACAGAGGGUGUUGUAUGCUGUACAGAUGGUAAAUCCCCUUCAGGAAACUUUGUGAUAUUUGGCAAUAUGAAUAAAAUUGACUUGACUUUCCACAAA